This 245-nucleotide ribosomal RNA is filed under the name uncultured Eubacteriales bacterium. RNAcentral describes it as "uncultured Clostridiales bacterium partial 16S ribosomal RNA". It matches the Rfam family "Bacterial small subunit ribosomal RNA", at positions 524 to 768 of the family's 1533-position model. The record is from RNAcentral. Lineage: Bacteria; Bacillati; Bacillota; Clostridia; Eubacteriales.
UACGUAGGUGGCAAGCGUUAUCCGGAUUUACUGGGUGUAAAGGGUGCGUAGGCGGGUAAUCAAGUCAGAUGUGAAAUACUUUGGCUCAACCAAAGAAUUGCAUUUGAAACUGAAUAUCUUGAGAGCGGGAGAGGUAAGCGGAAUUCCCAGUGUAGCGGUGAAAUGCGUAGAGAUUGGGAGGAACACCAGUGGCGAAGGCGGCUUACUGGACCGCAACUGACGCUGAAGCACGAGAGCGUGGGGAG